Molecule: ribosomal RNA, 253 nt
Filed under: uncultured bacterium
Lineage: Bacteria
Description: partial 16S ribosomal RNA
Rfam family: Bacterial small subunit ribosomal RNA
Source: RNAcentral
UACGAAGGGGGCGAGCGUUGUUCGGAUUUACUGGGCGUAAAGGGCGCGCAGGCGGCCAUUCAAGUCAGGCGUGAAAGCCCCGGGCUUAACCUGGGAGGUGCGCUUGGGACUGGGUGGCUAGAGAUCGGGAGAGGAGAGUGGAAUUCCCAGUGUAGAGGUGAAAUUCGUAGAUAUUGGGAAGAACACCGAUGGCGAAGGCAGCCAUCUGGACCGACACUGACGCUGAGGCGCGAAAGCGUGGGGAGCGAACAGG